UUCAUCUACUCGACUCCACCGCCUCAUUUCAGCUUAUUAAACUCUUUCAUUUUCUGAAAACACCACCAAAUCCCAGCAAUCAACUUCUUGUUUCUGCUGCUUUCGAUUCAAGUGGUGUGGCGCGACUAGGACAUGGAUUUUAAUUUGAAUUAUCAGAAUUAGCUUUCAAGUUGAACUUCAAAUUCAGGUUUUAAAGGCCGGAGGCGCGUGGAAGGUCGAAUGGCGAGUCAAAUAUUUUUGAAUUUAGUUUUACUUAAAAAUGUUAUUUUGAGUAAAGUAUGUUUAAAUAAAAAUUUAUUUUCUGAUUUUCUCAUUAAAUAUUUAUUUAUAGUCAUGGAUUUUCCGCGUGCGUUUCCAUGUAAAUUUAAAUUGGAUUUGGGUGUCACAAUUGUGAAAUCUCAUUUUCUUAUUAACUUGUCAAGACAAAAGAAUGACAUAUAAUACAAAAUCGUGUUUUUACAUGUACAUGUCAAAACAAAUUCAUCUUCAAAACAUAGCAUUUCCACGCAGCCAUCAGUUUUCUAACUGCCUCACCCAUCACCUUCCUCACCACCAAAAGCGUCCGCCACCAUCUCCAUGUUGCUCCGGCUCCCUUCGUCCUCCGCCCCACCACCACCGAAACGACGAGCGUUGCCCCCUUCAUGACCUUGGCGGAGCCGGGCACCUCCAGCUGAUCCAAAUACCACAUCUUCAUCCUCAACGCCGACACUCGACUCCUACUCUCCGCCAUUUCGCAG
Long non-coding RNA from Salvia miltiorrhiza (redroot sage), 737 nucleotides. RefSeq lists it as uncharacterized. The record is from RefSeq and is a predicted model, not a curated record. The transcript has 3 exons. Lineage: Eukaryota; Viridiplantae; Streptophyta; Magnoliopsida; Lamiales; Lamiaceae.